UAAGCAUAUCAAUAAGCGGAGGAAAAGAAACUAACAAGGAUUCCCCUAGUAACUGCGAGUGAAGCGGGAAAAGCUCAAAUUUAAAAUCUGGUGGUCUUUGGCCGUCCGAGUUGUAAUUUAGAGAAGCGUCUUCCGCGCUGGACCGUGCACAAGUCUCCUGGAACGGAGCGUCGUAGAGGGUGAGAAUCCCGUCUUUGGCAUGGACACACCAGGGCUUUUGCGAUGCGCUCUCGAAGAGUCGAGUUGUUUGGGAAUGCAGCUCAAAAUGGGUGGUGAACUCCAUCUAAAGCUAAAUAUUGGCGAGAGACCGAUAGCGAACAAGUACCGUGAGGGAAAGAUGAAAAGCACUUUGGAAAGAGAGUGAAACAGUACGUGAAAUUGUUGAAAGGGAAACGCUUGAAGUCAGUCGCGUCGUCCGAGACUCAGCCUCGCCUCGGCUUGGCGUACUUCUCGGCCCGACGGGUCAGCAUCAAUUUCGCCUCUCGGAUAAUGGCGAGGGAAAAGUGACACCUUUACGGUGUGUUAUAGUCUUUCGUCGCAUGCGAGGGUCGGGAUUGAGGAACUCAGCACGCGCCCUCGGGCGUCGGGGCUUUCGCCCACGAUACGUGCUUAGGAUGUUGGCGUAAUGGCUUUAAACGACCCGUCUUGAAACACGGACCAAGGAGUCUAACAUGCCUGCGAGUGUUCGGGUGGAAAACCCGUGCGCGCAAUGAAAGUGAAAGUUGGGACCUCCGUCGUGGAGGGCACCGACGCCCGGACCAGACCUUCUGUGACGGCUCUGCGGUAGAGCAUGCAUGUUAGGACCCGAAAGAUGGUGAACUAUGCCUGAAUAGGGUGAAGCCAGAGGAAACUCUGGUGGAGGCUCGUAGCGAUUCUGACGUGCAAAUCGAUCGUCAAAUUUGGGUAUAGGGC
Molecule: ribosomal RNA, 912 nt
Filed under: Russula sp.
Lineage: Eukaryota; Fungi; Basidiomycota; Agaricomycetes; Russulales; Russulaceae
Description: partial 28S large subunit ribosomal RNA
Rfam family: Eukaryotic large subunit ribosomal RNA
Source: RNAcentral